This 458-nucleotide ribosomal RNA is filed under the name uncultured bacterium. RNAcentral describes it as "partial 16S ribosomal RNA". It matches the Rfam family "Bacterial small subunit ribosomal RNA", at positions 338 to 795 of the family's 1533-position model. The record is from RNAcentral.
CCUACGGGAGGCAGCAGUGGGGAAUAUUGCACAAUGGGCGCAAGCCUGAUGCAGCGACGCCGCGUGCGGGAUGGAGGCCUUCGGGUUGUAAACCGCUGUUGUUCAAGGGCAAGGCACGGUCUUUGGCCGUGUUGAGUGGAUUGUUCGAAUAAGCACCGGCUAACUACGUGCCAGAAGCCGCGGGAAUACGUAGGGUGCAAGCGUUAUCAGGGUUUAUUGGGCGGAAAGGGCUCGUAGGCGGUUCGUCGCGGCCGGGGUGAAAGUCCAUCGCUUAACGGGGGGUCCGCGCGGGGUACGGGCGUGCUUGAGUGCGGUAGGGGAGACUGGAAUUCCCGGUGUAGCGGUGGAAUGUGUAGAUAUCGGGAAGAACACCAAUGGCGAAGGCAGGUCUCUGGGCCUUUACUGACGCUGAGGAGCGAAAGCGUGGGGAGCGAACAGGAUUAGAUACCCCAGUAGUC